Molecule: unclassified non-coding RNA, 814 nt
Filed under: Hevea brasiliensis (rubber tree)
Lineage: Eukaryota; Viridiplantae; Streptophyta; Magnoliopsida; Malpighiales; Euphorbiaceae
Source: RNAcentral
AGCAUACAUAGUGUUGUGCUAUUGCCUCGGCUCUGGAAGGCUCCUUAAAAUACAAUGACAUCUUUUGAGGUAGUUAUAUAAUCUUGCUUCUUGUUUUGCAGGAUUGAACAUCUUUAAAGCAUAUUCGGAUUCUAGCAGCAGCUCUUGUUUUCCUUGUGCUAUCAUCUUUUCUAACCAGUCAAUAUUUCCUCGUAGUUCUUGAUAGAGGGUAGCUUGUUUGUCCUUUUCUUUUCUUUCCUUGGCACAUUCCUUCGAGAUGUCGUUAAUUAGUUGUGCCUGAUCUUUAAGCUCAAGCUUAUUCCUUUUGUUCUCUUAUUUGUAUUCUUCCAUCAGUAUCUCAUGAUCUCUAAUUUUUCCCGUAACUUGCCAUUUUGUAUCCCUGCCUCUUUUACCUUGCUUUGGAGCAAGGCUUUCUCUUUUUUUCCACUGGAUUUUCUGUCCCUCAUAUUCUACUUCUCCUACCAUUAUUCCUUCUCUAAGCCUUUUUACCUCCUUUUUCAAAAUUUGCUAUUGAUCUUCUAACUAUUUUAUGCGUUCUUUCAAUUGCUGGUUCUUGAUGGUUGAACUCUAGAGAGGACUAACCAAUCUGGUACUAAUUUCAUCUGAGCGAGCUUCUUGAUGAGACAUGCUACCCUCGAGCCCUAACAGUUUGGUGACUUGAUACACCCUGCCCCUCCUGUUUCUCCAUAGGAGAUACUCUUCUGUUGUACUUGGCCCUUUAGGCAACAAUUCCAUCAAGAUUACCUUUUUCCAGGAUUUGUGUAAGGUUUUCAGUUCGUCCUCUCUAUCGGGUUCAUGAUAGAAAUGAGUUCGA